AUGGACUCCCCUACUGCACUGAGACGGACCCAGACCCCCUACCGAAAGGGCUAUGUACUGUUCUUUAUAUCAAGCGAUAGCUUUCAAGUGCCCGACCCCAAUCUGGAUAAUCUUCCCUUGAUCAAUGACUGGGAAAACCCCUCCUCUAUGA
Molecule: non-coding RNA, 151 nt
Organism: Vicia faba (fava bean)
Lineage: Eukaryota; Viridiplantae; Streptophyta; Magnoliopsida; Fabales; Fabaceae
Source: the annotation of a GenBank genome assembly